ACUAAUUAACUUUUAUUUACUAAUCCGAGUUUAUCCGAGUCUUUUUGUUUUACCUGCUUCAAGUUUAAAUAAUGGUUCGUUUUAAAAAUAGGUAGAUAUAUAACUGUAGAAAUUGUAUGUCCAACAGUUUCAGAAAAAACGCCAUUACAGUUGAAACCGGGUAUCUUUCAUAGCACAGUAUUGCAUAAAGUGCAGCAAAUCCAUGG
RNAcentral lists this unclassified non-coding RNA (206 nucleotides) under Bombyx mandarina (wild silkworm). RNAcentral describes it as "ribonuclease P/MRP protein subunit POP5, transcript variant X2". Lineage: Eukaryota; Metazoa; Arthropoda; Insecta; Lepidoptera; Bombycidae. The record is from RNAcentral.